RNAcentral lists this ribosomal RNA (833 nucleotides) under Halobacterium sp. 0Cb21. RNAcentral's name for it is "bacterial SSU rRNA". It matches the Rfam family "Archaeal small subunit ribosomal RNA", at positions 384 to 1213 of the family's 1478-position model. The record is from RNAcentral. RNAcentral also lists the same sequence under 2 other names. Lineage: Archaea; Methanobacteriati; Methanobacteriota; Halobacteria; Halobacteriales; Halobacteriaceae.
AGUGUGAAGGCAUAGAGCCUUCACUUUUGUACACCGUAAGGUGGUGUACGAAUAAGGGCUGGGCAAGACCGGUGCCAGCCGCCGCGGUAAUACCGGCAGCCCGAGUGAUGGCCGAUAUUAUUGGGCCUAAAGCGUCCGUAGCUGGCCGGACAAGUCCGUUGGGAAAUCUGUUCGCUUAACGAGCAGGCGUCCAGCGGAAACUGUUCGGCUUGGGACCGGAAGACCUGAGGGGUACGUCCGGGGUAGGAGUGAAAUCCUGUAAUCCUGGACGGACCACCGGUGGCGAAAGCGCCUCAGGAGAACGGAUCCGACAGUGAGGGACGAAAGCUAGGGUCUCGAACCGGAUUAGAUACCCGGGUAGUCCUAGCUGUAAACGAUGCCCGCUAGGUGUGGCGCAGGCUACGAGCCUGCGCUGUGCCGUAGGGAAGCCGAGAAGCGGGCCGCCUGGGAAGUACGUCUGCAAGGAUGAAACUUAAAGGAAUUGGCGGGGGAGCACUACAACCGGAGGAGCCUGCGGUUUAAUUGGACUCAACGCCGGACAUCUCACCAGCUCCGACAGUAGUAAUGACGGUCAGGUUGAUGACCUUACCCGAUGCUACUGAGAGGAGGUGCAUGGCCGCCGUCAGCUCGUACCGUGAGGCGUCCUGUUAAGUCAGGCAACGAGCGAGACCCGCACUCCUAAUUGCCAGCAGUACCCUUUGGGUAGCUGGGUACAUUAGGUGGACUGCCGCUGCUAAAGCGGAGGAAGGAACGGGCAACGGUAGGUCAGUAUGCCCCGAAUGAGCUGGGCAACACGCGGGCUACAAUGGUCGAGACAAUGGGAUGCAACUCCG